CCUACGGGAGGCAGCAGUGGGGAAUAUUGCACAAUGGGGGAAACCCUGAUGCAGCAACGCCGCGUGGGUGAAGGAGCGUUUCGGCGCGUAAAGCCCUGUCAGCGGGGAAGAAGAAAGACGGUACCCGACCAAGAAGCCCCGGCUAACUACGUGCCAGCAGCCGCGGUAAUACGUAGGGGGCGAGCGUUAUCCGGAUUUAUUGGGUUUAAAGGGUGCGUAGGCGGAAUGCCAAGUCAGCGGUAAAAUCGCGGGGCUCAACCUCGCUCCGCCGUUGAAACUGGCGUGCUUGAGUGGGCGAGAGGUAGGCGGAAUGCGUGGUGUAGCGGUGAAAUGCAUAGAUAUCACGCAGAACUCCGAUGGCGAAGGCAGCAUGCCGGCGCCCAACUGACGCUGAAGCCCGAAAGCGUGGGUAUCGAACAGGAUUAGAUACCCUGGUAGUC
Molecule: ribosomal RNA, 440 nt
Filed under: uncultured bacterium
Lineage: Bacteria
Description: partial 16S ribosomal RNA
Rfam family: Bacterial small subunit ribosomal RNA
Source: RNAcentral